GACGAACGCUGGCGGCGUGCUUAACACAUGCAAGUCGAACGGAAAGGCCCUGCUUUUGUGGGGUGCUCGAGUGGCGAACGGGUGAGUAACACGUGAGUAACCUGCCCUUGACUUUGGGAUAACUUCAGGAAACUGGGGCUAAUACCGGAUAGGAGCUCCUGCUGCAUGGUGGGGGUUGGAAAGUUUCGGCGGUUGGGGAUGGACUCGCGGCUUAUCAGCUUGUUGGUGGGGUAGUGGCUUACCAAGGCUUUGACGGGUAGCCGGCCUGAGAGGGUGACCGGCCACAUUGGGACUGAGAUGCGGCCCAGACUCCUACGGGAGGCAGCAGUGGGGAAUAUUGCACAAUGGGCGGAAGCCUGAUGCAGCAACGCCGCGUGCGGGAUGACGGCCUUCGGGUUGUAAACCGCUUUCGCCUGUGACGAGGCGUGAGUGACGGUAAUGGGUAAAGAAGCACCGGCUAACUACGUG
Molecule: ribosomal RNA, 468 nt
Filed under: uncultured bacterium
Lineage: Bacteria
Description: partial 16S ribosomal RNA
Rfam family: Bacterial small subunit ribosomal RNA
Source: RNAcentral